AACGAACGCUGGCGGCAGGCUUAACACAUGCAAGUCGAACGGUUGUAGCAAUACAGCAGUGGCAGACGGGUGAGUAACACGUGGGAACCUUCCUAGGGGUACGGAACAACUCAGGGAAACUUGAGCUAAUACCGUAUACGUCCGUGAGGAGAAAGAUUUAUCGCCCUUAGACGGGCCCGCGUCGGAUUAGCUAGUUGGUGGGGUAACGGCCUACCAAGGCGACGAUCCGUAGCUGAUCUUAGAGGAUGAUCAGCCACACUGGGACUGAGACACGGCCCAGACUCCUACGGGAGGCAGCAGUGGGGAAUCUUGGACAAUGGGCGCAAGCCUGAUCCAGCCAUUCCGCGUGCAGGAUGAAGGCCUUCGGGUUGUAAACUGCUUUUGUUACGGAACGAAACGGCGAGCUCUAAUACAGUUUGCUAAUGACGGUACCGUAAGAAUAAAGCACCGGCUAACUAACGUG
Molecule: ribosomal RNA, 463 nt
Filed under: uncultured bacterium
Lineage: Bacteria
Description: partial 16S ribosomal RNA
Rfam family: Bacterial small subunit ribosomal RNA
Source: RNAcentral